This 429-nucleotide ribosomal RNA is filed under the name Chloroflexota bacterium. RNAcentral describes it as "Chloroflexi bacterium partial 16S ribosomal RNA". It matches the Rfam family "Bacterial small subunit ribosomal RNA", at positions 355 to 776 of the family's 1533-position model. The record is from RNAcentral. Lineage: Bacteria; Bacillati; Chloroflexota.
UGGGGAAUAUUGCUCAAUGGGCGCAAGCCUGAUGCAGCCAUGCCGCGUGUAUGAAGAAGGCCUUCGGGUUGUAAAGUACUUUCAGCGGGGAGGAAGGGAGUAAAGUUAAUACCUUUGCUCAUUGACGUUACCCGCAGAAGAAGCACCGGCUAACUCCGUGCCAGCAGCCGCGGUAAUACGGAGGGUGCAAGCGUUAAUCGGAAUUACUGGGCGUAAAGCGCACGCAGGCGGUUUGUUAAGUCAGAUGUGAAAUCCCCGGGUUCAACCUGGGAACUGCAUCUGAUACUGGCAAGCUUGAGUCUCGUAGAGGGGGGUAGAAUUCCAGGUGUAGCGGUGAAAUGCGUAGAGAUCUGGAGGAAUACCGGUGGCGAAGGCGGCCCCCUGGACGAAGACUGACGCUCAGGUGCGAAGGCGUGGGGAGCAAACAGG